RNAcentral lists this long non-coding RNA (1658 nucleotides) under Lynx pardinus (Iberian lynx). The record is from RNAcentral. Lineage: Eukaryota; Metazoa; Chordata; Mammalia; Carnivora; Felidae.
GGGCUCCAAGCGUCAGGCGCGCUUCUAAAAAACGCAGGAAAAGACGCACUGGGGCCGGGGGCUUAGCUUCCCUGGGCCCUGUUAGCCCAGCCUGGUAAGAAGAGGACUGUGUCUGCCCCUUUAAGGCUGACUCCUGUUCUCCUUGGAGGGAAAUAACGUGGUCACACACACAUUUGGGACUUACCCUUUUGAACUUCCCCUUCUUUCCUUAACAGUGCAUACAGGUACCAAGUGUCCUCUACGUAAGUCGCGUGUUCAUAACAGAUGCUUCAUUGGUGCUGGAGUGGGAGGGGGAAACGUCGGUCUAGAAGACAUGGUGUUCCAAACCAAAACCAGUUUCACGUUUGUUCUGCUGUAUUUUUAAGCUUAGGCUUGUGCGAUUCAAGGGCUGACCCGAUACUUCUAAUAGAAGGAGUCCAGUAAGAAGACAGGAUGUUAGAGACCCUGGGAUCCCGAGGGCACGAUCCGGAGAUGAUUAACACCCGCUGGAAGUCUGUACCGAGUUCACACAAGUGGCCUGACAGGUAUUUUAGCCUGCCCUGUGUUUUGAUAUUUUAAUUGAUCGCUUGCAUUUACAAGUGGGAGUUUAUGUGUAAAUAUCUGGGUUAUUAUCUUGGGAAGAUCUGGCAGUGUGUUCUUCCCUGACCAGUUUGCUGGCCUCUUUGGACUAUUGAGAAACCAUCUCCAGUUCGCUACAGUCUUUCUGUUACAACCAUUGGCAUCACUCAUCACGAGUCUGGACCCUAGUAAGGGUUUGAGUUUGGGGCCCCUCCUCUAAAUAUUGGAGUGGAUGGAUAUAUGACUAUUUAAAACAUUUAUGUAGAACAGAUCAGAGGUCCCAAGUAACUGGGUGUAUAGUUCGUGUUUAAACUGCUGUUCCUUACUCUCGCUUAUUCUCAUUCAAGGUGUUUUUCUGUUGGAACAAGCGUUUUUGGCCCAGGCUUGGGAAAGAUGAGUCAUCAGAGAUAUUUACAGAAAGAUAUUUGGGAGUUGAUAUUCUUUUGUGACAAUUAAAUCCACAAAGUUUUCUUUUAAGGAAAACAUCUGAAUCUUGAUUACAUUGAUGUUUUAUGCUACAACAAUUUUUAUUGAAAUAGAGUGUACUCAGUAUGAUUUAUAUGUCUUUGUCCACAGGCAGUUAUAGUUUGUUAACCUCCACAACUCUUGGCAAGGCUUCAUAAAAGCAAGACCAGUGUUUGCCCUGGUAGUAACUCUGCCUCACCCACUAGAAUCUAAGCUUCCUGAAGCCGCAGACUUUUAUUUUGUUCAGGGUGCGUGCUUAAAGGUAAGUGAUUUAUUCAAUGUGUGAAAGCACUUUAAAGGUAAACCUUACUUUAUGUAACAGGCAUGUUCCCAAGGAUUUCUCUCAGAUUCAAGUGCGUGUAUAUUUGUUGUUCUAAAUUAUUAAAAGGCUUUUGUUGUGAAAAGCCUUCCUUUUUGAAAGGUUGUAGUUUCCUAAAUUGAUGCGCCAACACUUCCAUCUGAAAUGGACUUGCACUUGUGAAUCAUCUGCUACAGAGCUUACACUGUAAUAUUUUCUCACUGUGUAAUGGGAUUUGGACGUGUCAGUGAGCCUUGGAAUUUUCAGCUUUAUUUCUGUUUUUAGAGACGCACAGAUUUCCAGUUGAGAUCAGUGUGGCAGCCAGACCCUUCCUUCC